Molecule: small RNA, 303 nt
Filed under: Vibrio cholerae
Lineage: Bacteria; Pseudomonadati; Pseudomonadota; Gammaproteobacteria; Vibrionales; Vibrionaceae
Source: RNAcentral
AAGACCCAAGGAUUGGUCAUCUUCAGGACGAAGAUUUCGAUUGUUCAGGAUGAAUGGUCGGCAAGGAGAGCAAAGGACGUUAGCUGGACGCUUAAUAACUAGGAUGGUUAUAAACGGAGAGUUAAUGGACAACUUAAUGGACUAAGCGAGUUCUGUCAGGAUGGCAGAGGAAGGGACACCGCUAGGAAGGCGAUGAAACGGAUUGUGCUGAAGGACACAGCAGACUAUCAAGGAAUAGAUGCAGGGAGCACCUAUUAGUAGCGGGAUUGCUGCGAGUGAGAACUGAACCCCACUAAGCUUAGG